Molecule: ribosomal RNA, 874 nt
Filed under: uncultured eukaryote
Lineage: Eukaryota
Description: bacterial SSU rRNA
Rfam family: Eukaryotic small subunit ribosomal RNA
Source: RNAcentral
AGCAGCCGCGGUAAUUCCAGCUCCAAUAGCGUAUAUUUAAGUUGUUGCAGUUAAAAAGCUCGUAGUUGGAUUUUGGUUAAGAGGGCGCGGUCGGCCGUUUGGUCUGUACUGCGUUGUCUUGACUUCCUGAUGAGGACAUGCUCUUGGUUAACGCUGAGACAUGGAGUCAUCGUGGUUACUUUGAAAAAAUUAGAGUGCUCAAAGCAGGCUAUUACGCCUGAAUAUUCGUGCAUGGAAUAAUAGAAUAGGAAGUCGUUUCUAUUUUGUUGGUUUUCGGAAAUCGACUUAAUGAUUAAUAGGGACAGUCGGGGGCAUUUGUAUUCAAACGACAGAGGUGAAAUUCUUGGACCGUUUGAAGACAAACUACUGCGAAAGCAUUUGCCAAGAAUGUUUUCAUUAAUCAAGAACGAAAGUUAAAGGUUCGAAGGCGAUUAGAUACCGCCCUAGUUUUAACCAUAAACGAUGCCAGCUAGCGAUCUGCGGACGUUUUUUUUGUAGACUCCGCAGGAAGCUUUCGGGAAACCAAAGCAUUUGGGUUCCAGGGGAAGUAUGGUUGCAAAGCUGAAACUUAAAGGAAUUGACGGAAGGGCACCACCAGGAGUGGAGCCUGUGGCUUAAUUUGACUCAACACGGGAAAUCUCACCAGGCCCGGACACUGGAAGGAUUGACAGAUUGAUAGCUCUUUCUUGAUUCGGUGGGUGGUGGUGCAUGGCCGUUCUUAGUUGGUGGAGUGAUUUGUCUGGUUAAUUCCGAUAACGAACGAGACUCUGUCCUGCUAAAUAGUGUCUGCUUCUCUUUUGAGCAGACAAUUCUUCUUAGAGGGACUGGCGACUCUUAGUCGCACGAGAUUGAGCAAUAACAGGUCUGUGAUGCC